Molecule: ribosomal RNA, 804 nt
Filed under: uncultured bacterium
Lineage: Bacteria
Description: bacterial SSU rRNA
Rfam family: Bacterial small subunit ribosomal RNA
Source: RNAcentral
CAGCAAGUAGAACGCUCAAGAGAGGAGCUUGCUCUUCUUGGAUGAGUUGCGAACGGGUGAGCUAACGCGAUAGGUAACCCUGCCUUGAUAGCGGGGGAUAACUAUUGGAAACGAUAGCUAAUACCGCAUAACAAUGGACGACACAUGUCAUUUAUUUGAAAGGGGCAAUUGCUCCACUACAAGAUGGACCUGCGUUGUAUUAGCUAGUAGGUGAGGUAAUGGCUCACCUAGGCGACGAUACAUAGCCGACCUGAGAGGGUGAUCGGCCACACUGGGACUGAGACACGGCCCAGACUCCUACGGGAGGCAGCAGUAGGGAAUCUUCGGCAAUGGGGGCAACCCUGACCGAGCAACGCCGCGUGAGUGAAGAAGGUUUUCGGAUCGUAAAGCUCUGUUGUAAGUCAAGAACGGGUGUGAGAGUGGAAAGUUCACACUGUGACGGUAGCUUACCAGAAAGGGACGGCUAACUACGUGCCAGCAGCCGCGGUAAUACGUAGGUCCCGAGCGUUGUCCGGAUUUAUUGGGCGUAAAGCGAGCGCAGGCGGUUUGAUAAGUCUGAAGUUAAAGGCUGUGGCUCAACCAUAGUUCGCUUUGGAAACUGUCAAACUUGAGUGCAGAAGGGGAGAGUGGAAUUCCAUGUGUAGCGGUGAAAUGCGUAGAUAUAUGGAGGAACACCGGUGGCGAAAGCGGCUCUCUGGUCUGUAACUGACGCUGANGCUCGAAAGCCUGGGGAGCGAACAGGAUUAGAUACCCUGGUAGUCCCCCSCCGUAAACCAUGAGCGCUAAGUGUUGGGAUNCCUUUCC